This 501-nucleotide ribosomal RNA is filed under the name uncultured bacterium. RNAcentral describes it as "bacterial SSU rRNA". It matches the Rfam family "Bacterial small subunit ribosomal RNA", at positions 14 to 509 of the family's 1533-position model. The record is from RNAcentral.
UGAUCCUGGCUCAGGAUGAACGCUAGCGGCAGGCUUAACACAUGCAAGUCGAGGGGCAGCGCGGGGUAGCAAUACCCUGGCGGCGACCGGCGAAAGGGUGAGUAACGCGUGAGCAACGUGCCCGUAUGUGGGGGAUAGUCGAUGGAAACGUCGCGUAAUACCCCGUAACACACUUCCCCGCAUGAGGAGGUGUUGAAAGAUUUAUUGCAUACGGAUCGGCUCGCGUGCCAUUAGCUAGUUGGCGGGGUAACGGCCCACCAAGGCGACGAUGGCUAGGGGUUCUGAGAGGAAGGUCCCCCACAUUGGAACUGAGACACGGUCCAGACUCCUACGGGAGGCAGCAGUGAGGAAUAUUGGACAAUGGCCGGAAGGCUGAUCCAGCCAUGCCGCGUGCGGGAGGACGGCCCUAUGGGUUGUAAACCGCUUUUGCGAGGGAGCAAUAAGAGUCACGUGUGGCUCGAUGAGAGUACCUCGCGAAUAAGCAUCGGCUAACUCCGUGCC